GUGGGGAAUUUUUCGCAAUGGGGGAAACCCUGACGAAGCAACGCCGCGUGGAGGAUGAAGGCCUUCGGGUCGUAAACUCCUGUCGACCGGGACGAACGUAGUCGGGUCCAAUACACCCGGCUAUCGACUGUACCGGUGGAGGAAGCCACGGCUAACUCUGUGCCAGCAGCCGCGGUAAUACAGAGGUGGCAAGCGUUGUUCGGAAUUACUGGGCGUAAAGGGCGCGUAGGCGGUUCGUUAAGUCCUGUGUGAAAUCCCCCGGCUCAACUGGGGAACUGCACAGGAAACUAGCGGGCUUGAGUUCGGGAGAGGGAAGCGGAAUUCCGGGUGUAGCGGUGAAAUGCGUAGAUAUCCGGAGGAACACCGGUGGCGAAGGCGGCUUCCUGGACCGACACUGACGCUGAGGCGCGAAAGCUAGGGGAGCAAACGGGAUUAGAAACCCGUGUAGUCC
RNAcentral lists this ribosomal RNA (451 nucleotides) under uncultured bacterium. Its description in RNAcentral is "bacterial SSU rRNA". It matches the Rfam family "Bacterial small subunit ribosomal RNA", at positions 354 to 796 of the family's 1533-position model. The record is from RNAcentral.